AAAGAAAUUUAUUACAAAAAUCGCUAAAAUUUUACAAUAAUUUAGUUUAAGUACAGCUUAUAUGGAAAUUAUAUUAAAAAAGAUAGGACACCGAUGAGUUGAAAAAGAUAUUUCAAUUUUAGAGCCAAAAAAUGGCAUUUUUCCACCAAAGGGAGAUAAUUUGGAACUUUUUCAAUGAAAUAUACAUUUUGAAAGUCAUCUGGGGCCAACACGAAUUGAUUGUUUUGAAUGAUUUUUGUACCAUAUGAUAAAGUAACAACUACAAAAGGAAAUAAAUAAAAUUUGUAAUGAAAAAGAAAUGUUUGAUUUUUUUCUGAAAUUUUUAUACCCUCGAGCCUCCUUAAGCGCUAUUG
Molecule: long non-coding RNA, 353 nt
Filed under: Mytilus galloprovincialis (Mediterranean mussel)
Lineage: Eukaryota; Metazoa; Mollusca; Bivalvia; Mytilida; Mytilidae
Source: RNAcentral